RNAcentral lists this microRNA precursor (87 nucleotides) under Chinchilla lanigera (long-tailed chinchilla). Its description in RNAcentral is "miRNA (ENSCLAG00000021256.1)". Lineage: Eukaryota; Metazoa; Chordata; Mammalia; Rodentia; Chinchillidae. The record is from RNAcentral.
UCCCUCUUCUAGUAAAAGUACCAGUUUGCUGGGUGCACAGGCCUGUGCCUAUAAUCUCAGCACUGAGGGAGGCUGAGGCAGGAGGAU